UGUCUUGUAGUAUAUAUCUUAUUACCAUAAACUGCAACUUUAUCAAAACUUUUAGUCAAGACAU
RNAcentral lists this transfer RNA (64 nucleotides) under Anodonta cygnea. RNAcentral describes it as "tRNA-Cys". Lineage: Eukaryota; Metazoa; Mollusca; Bivalvia; Unionida; Unionidae. The record is from RNAcentral.